RNAcentral lists this ribosomal RNA (410 nucleotides) under uncultured bacterium. RNAcentral describes it as "bacterial SSU rRNA". It matches the Rfam family "Bacterial small subunit ribosomal RNA", at positions 370 to 772 of the family's 1533-position model. The record is from RNAcentral.
AAUGGGCGCAAGCCUGAUCCAGCCACGCCGCGUGAGUGAUGAAGGCCUUCGGGUUGUAAAGCUCUGUGGGGAGGGGCGAAAACGGCCGGUAAGAAACGACCGGUCCUUGACGGUACCUCCUUAGCAAGCACCGGCUAACUCUGUGCCAGCAGCCGCGGUAAUACAGAGGGUGCGAACGUUGCUCGGAAUUACUGGGCGUAAAGCGCGUGUAGGCGGAUGGGUAAGUCAGAUGUGAAAUCCCCGAGCUCAACUCGGGAACUGCAUUUGAAACUGCUCGUCUUGAGUACCGGAGAGGGUGGCGGAAUUCCUGGUGUAGAGGUGAAAUUCGUAGAUAUCAGGAGGAACACCGGUGGCGAAGGCGGCCACCUGGACGGUUACUGACGCUGAGACGCGAAAGCGUGGGGAGCAAA